AACUAAUUUAACUUUGAGAUCAAAAAUAUUAAUCACGAUCUACAAAUUCCAAAAAGGAAACAAAACUGUAACCAGAUUCAAAUCAAAGCGAAACGCAAAACGAUCUAUAAAUUCCAAAAGACAAAAAAAAAACAAUGAUUUUUUCGUCAAACACACAAUGAUGUUUAGACUCCUAAAAAAAACUGUAACCGGAUUGAAAUCAAAGUGAAAUACCAAAUGACAUUUAUAAGUAGCAAAAAAUAAUAAUUAACUGCGACUGGAUUCAAAUCAAAGCGAAACACAAAAUGAUACUUAAAAUCAAAAAAAAAAAUCGUAGACAGAUUUAGAUCAGAGUAAAACACAUAAUGAUUAUUAAAUUCCGAAAGAGAAAAAAUGUAACUGGAUUCAAAUCAAAGUGGACCACAAAACGAUCUAUAAAUUCCAAAACAUAAAAUUUGCAGUAACCGAAUUCAAAUCGAAGUGAAAUUUACCUGAACGUAAGCUUGAGGAACACGAUUUUCAACCGAAGCGAUCGCAGUAGCAGCAGCGUUUAUAGUCUCCAGAGUCCUAUCCACUCCUCUUUGCUCUCCGUUCACUCGUCUCAUCUUCUCCUCUCUUUUACACAACAAAUCACCUCAAUUCCUAAACUCCGACGACUCCUCAGCUCUACAACAUCGCCAGACCUCACUUUUCCAAUCGAAAUACCAAAAAAAUUUAUUUUCUCAGACAAAAAAUCAAAGUAACCGAACAAAUUUGGAGAAGAUGAAGUUGAUUUCUUCAAUAUUCAUUCUGGAAAAUGUACACA
This 784-nucleotide long non-coding RNA is filed under the name Nicotiana tabacum (common tobacco). RNAcentral's name for it is "long non-coding RNA (NTAB_LNC017210)". Lineage: Eukaryota; Viridiplantae; Streptophyta; Magnoliopsida; Solanales; Solanaceae. The record is from RNAcentral.